Molecule: ribosomal RNA, 253 nt
Filed under: uncultured bacterium
Lineage: Bacteria
Description: partial 16S ribosomal RNA
Rfam family: Bacterial small subunit ribosomal RNA
Source: RNAcentral
UACGGAGGGGGCAAGCGUUAUUCGGAAUUAUUGGGCGUAAAGAGCGUGUAGGCGGCCAGGUAGGUCGGUUGUGAAAACUGGAGGCUCAACCUUCAGAGGUCGACCGAAACCAUCUGGCUAGAGUCCGGGAGAGGAGAGUGGAAUUCCUGGUGUAGCGGUGAAAUGCGCAGAUAUCAGGAAGAACACCCGUGGCGAAAGCGGCUCUCUGGAACGGUACUGACGCUGAGACGCGAAAGCGUGGGGAGCGAACAGG